CGAACCGAUCACAAGAACUGUACAGCCAUGGUAAAUUAGCUGCCGUAUAAAAGUAUUGGCUGAUAUUGUAACGAUAUCAUUGCCUACAGAAUGAAAUUCUUGGUGCUAUUUUGUGUGCUCUUUGCGCUAUUGGGCGUGGCUGUGGUAAGGGCGUGGGGUGACAUCGAUCGAAACAGUGUCAGUAAGAAACAUGCCGCGCUUGCUUCUCACUUACCAGCCGAUGUUAACGUCCGAGAUGUGCUCACUUCUCUUCGAGUAACAUCCCUCUUACAUUAAUUACAAUCAAACAAAUAUUCAGCACAUUUUUGAUGAACCAACUUAUUACUUAAAAUAAUAACUGAGUUUAAUAAUAUUAAUAAAUGGAAAUAUAAAUAAAAUUAAUAUUGAUGUUCAAUAAUUGAAACUAAAUUGUUCAAUAUUUCAUUUAAAAUUAAUAAAUCGUGCUAUUAUUUGAUAAUGUUUUUUUUUUAUCAUUCAUGCCGUUAAGUUAAAUGACCACUAGUCUACCGUGCCUACCGUUAAAUAAUUGCAUUGGUUUGCUAAUGCUUAAAUAUAUAUGUAACGGAAUUUGUUUUGGCCAUUCAGAUUUUAUCACGACUAGGAUUGCCAACCCUUCGAAAGUAAAAAACAGCAUAUUACAUAAUUAUAUGUAUAUAGUUUUACGAUAAAAAAGUGUAGUAGUUGAAUUGGUCUUCCUGUCUAUGUUGGAAUCAUCCCUUUUUUUACGCUUUUCCCCCGCGUGAAAAAACCAGCACUACCCUUUCCGUCUAAACGAGGAGCACCACGGGAUCGUUUGCGCAUGCUACUCUGGCGCUCUGACGGAUGGGCCUAUGCGGGCCUCUAUUAUCUAGGGGUACUGAGAACCACCCUAGUCCCAGCGACACCUACUACAGUGGGAGGAGAAGGUGCGCAUAGCGCCUCUUUUUUCCCUCGGUUUUCUUCGGCGGAGCGGGUCUGCAGCGGCGUCCGCAUCCCGCUUCCACUCCGCGGCCUCCUUCUGUCACAUCACACUUUCACAAAAGGAGACCAUUUCGUCCAAUCGUCCAAUAUUUAUUUCUAUAAUAAUAUAAUUAAAUCAUCAACAGGUAACAGGGCGUCACAUCGAUUAGAAUUAUUAUAUAUAUUAUACCAGGCGUGAUUAACGCCUUUUAUGUUGAUAACCGAUCACAAGAACUGUACAGCCAUGGUAAAUUAGCAGUCCUAUAAAAGUAUUGGCUGAUAUUGUAACGAUAUCAUUGUCUACAGAAUGAAGUUCUUGGUGCUAUUUUGUGUGCUCUUUGCGCUCUUGGGCGUGGGCAUGGGUGAAAUCGAGCGAAACAGUAUCAGUAAGAAACAUGCCGCGCUUGUUUCUCACUUACCAGCCCAUGUUAACGUCCGAGAUGUGCUCUCUUCACUUCGAGCAACAUCCCUCUUACAUUAAUUACAAUCAAACAAAUAUUCAGCACAUUUUUGAUGAACCAACUUAUUACUUCAAAUAAGAACUGAGUGUAAUAAUAUUAAUAAAUAUAAAUAAAAUUAAUAUUGAUGUUCAAUAAUUGAAACUAAAUUGUUCAAUAUUUCAUUUAAAAUUAAUAAAUCGUGCUAUUAUUUGA
Molecule: long non-coding RNA, 1592 nt
Organism: Nymphalis io (European peacock)
Lineage: Eukaryota; Metazoa; Arthropoda; Insecta; Lepidoptera; Nymphalidae
Exons: 3
Source: RefSeq, a predicted model, not a curated record